GGACAAAGGGCUGAAGUGUGAGGACAAGGAGUUUGAGUAUGAGGUCGUAGAGCAGGAGGACGUUGAGCCACGUUCCUCGGAGGAAGAAAAGUCAGAGGGGAAUGGGUGCAUUAAGCAUUGUGUGACAACCCAUUGUGAAGAAAAGGAGCUGCACUCUCCUUUAAAAAGGAAGUCGAUUGAAUCCAGGAAGCAUGGUGCCUGUGAUGGAAAGAAGAAACCCAGGGAGGAGAAUGUGUCAGAGAUUGAUGUCUGCAAAGCUGAUGGGGAGGGCCAUGUCAAAGAUGAGGUGAGCUGUGGUUCUGGGUUGAACAACAGCUGAGGAAUAUAGAUGCAUUGAACUUGGUGUGAGCACCUGCAGUGGACCAAAG
Molecule: long non-coding RNA, 368 nt
Organism: Scatophagus argus
Lineage: Eukaryota; Metazoa; Chordata; Actinopteri; Scatophagidae
Exons: 5
Source: RefSeq, a predicted model, not a curated record